RNAcentral lists this ribosomal RNA (499 nucleotides) under uncultured bacterium. Its description in RNAcentral is "bacterial SSU rRNA". It matches the Rfam family "Bacterial small subunit ribosomal RNA", at positions 11 to 507 of the family's 1533-position model. The record is from RNAcentral.
GUUUGAUCCUGGCUCAGAUUGAACGCUGGCGGCAUGCCUUACACAUGCAAGUCGAACGGUAACGCGGGGCAACCUGGCGACGAGUGGCGAACGGGUGAGUAAUAUAUCGGAACGUGCCCAGUAGUGGGGGAUAGCCCGGCGAAAGCCGGAUUAAUACCGCAUGAGACCUGAGGGUGAAAGCGGGGGAUCGCAAGACCUCGCGCUAUUGGAGCGGCCGAUAUCAGAUUAGGUAGUUGGUGGGGUAAAGGCCUACCAAGCCGACGAUCUGUAGCUGGUCUGAGAGGACGACCAGCCACACUGGGACUGAGACACGGCCCAGACUCCUACGGGAAGCAGCAGUGGGGAAUAUUGGACAAUGGGGGCAACCCUGAUCCAGCAAUGCCGCGUGUGUGAAGAAGGCCUGCGGGUUGUAAAGCACUUUCAGUAGGGAAGAAAAGCUCGGGGCUAAUACCUCCGGGUCUUGACGUUACCUAAAGAAGAAGCACCGGCUAACUCCGUG